ACGGAAGGCAGCAGUGGGGAAUAUUGGGCAAUGGGCGAAAGCCUGACCCAGCAACGCCGCGUGAGUGAAGAAGGCCUUCGGGUUGUAAAACUCUUUUACCAGGGACGAAGGAAGUGACGGUACCUGGAGAAAAAGCAACGGCUAACUACGUGCCAGCAGCCGCGGUAAUACGUAGGUUGCAAGCGUUGUCCGGAUUUACUGGGUGUAAAGGGCGUGUAGGCGGAGCUGCAAGUCAGAUGUGAAAUCCCGGGGCUCAACCCCGGAACUGCAUUUGAAACUGUAGCCCUUGAGUAUCGGAGAGGCAAGCGGAAUUCCUAGUGUAGCGGUGAAAUGCGUAGAUAUUAGGAGGAACACCAGUGGCGAAGGCGGCUUGCUGGACUGUAACUGACGUUGAGGCUCGAAAGCGUGGGGAGCAAACAGGAUUAGAUACCCUGGUA
This 437-nucleotide ribosomal RNA is filed under the name uncultured Oscillospiraceae bacterium. Its description in RNAcentral is "partial 16S ribosomal RNA". It matches the Rfam family "Bacterial small subunit ribosomal RNA", at positions 341 to 792 of the family's 1533-position model. The record is from RNAcentral. Lineage: Bacteria; Bacillati; Bacillota; Clostridia; Eubacteriales; Oscillospiraceae.